AAAUUGAAAAUGUGAGAAGUUGUUUGAAUUUAAAACAUUUUUGAAAAACAUUGAUUGCAGCAAACUUGAAUUAAAGUGGUGAAAGUAUAAAGAAUAUAAUAAAAGCUCUAGGACUCGUAUGUAUGUAUGUAGCUUUAUCACUGAUAGACUCAAAAAUUGGUGAAAAUUUCUGUGACACGUUUCAAAAUUUGGCGCAACUAUUUAUUUAGGUAAAAAGUGCAAAUACGCACUUCAGAAAAGAGGAGAACACAACAACAUGAGAGAAAAAAAGACGGGCAGCUGUGAGUUGAGGAAAAAAUGAAAAAUAAAUGAAUGCACAAAAAAAAAAAAAUGUAAACAGCAGAAUGCAUCAAUGGGUAUGAAAGUGAAUAAAUGAAAAAGAAUACAUAUACAUAUAUACAUGUAUAUUUUGAAAGUCAAGGCAACUAACGAAAAAUUGACUUGAAGCAAAGAAAUAUAAAAAUUGGUAAUAAUACUAUGGAGUGCAGUGUGCGUAAAUUACAGCAAAAUAAAGCAGAGAAUGUAAGCAUUUAUUGACUUGAACUAAGCUUAAGUCAUGUAAUUUAUAUAUUAAAAAAUAUUAGAGAGAGUGAAAUUUAUGGACUAUGAAAAGUGUUCAAAAUUGGAUAUUAAAUGAAAAGAAUAAAAAAAUUAAAAUAAAAAACAUUGAUAAUUGGAAACCAAAGUGAAGCACAAACGACGAACGAACAUCACUAAAAUCCAAAAAAAAUCUUCCGAACUUAAACAUAACGAAAACGACAAAAAUAUUUAAUUUAUAAGCAGCAGAUACAUUUGCAGGUUAGAAUUUAAAUUUAUGUUACUUUAAAGUGAAUUAAAAAAAUGUGCAGAAAAACGACUAAAGGACAAGUGUAUUUGCGACAUUUCAAAACUACUGUCCGGUCGCAGAUCAUAUAAAAACACAUUACAAAAUUCUAUUUUUUUUUUUCAAACAGAAAAAAGUUUACGAAAAUAAAUAAUUAGUAAUAAUUUUCGGCGAAUAAAUAAUAAUUGAUGAGACAAAUGUAGUGAGUAAAAAAUGUAGUUAUCAAUUAAUUGAAAACAAAUCAAGUAAUUAUAAUAAGUGUCAUUUACAGCUAACAUCUAAAGUGUGUUUACAUACACAUAUUACAUGAUGAUUACAUACGAUCAUUAAUUAUUAAAUCAAUAAACAUAAAGAAUUCAUGAUAGUUGUUAUUGGCAAAUCAUGCACACACACACACAUUGCAAAAUAAAAAUAAUACAUAAAUACGCGUAAACAAAAAAAGUAAUUAUUAAAUUGUUAAUAUCAAAUUUCGCAGCAAAACAAAUAGUCAAAUAUUUGUUUAAGCCCAAUUGUUAAAUUGUUUCUUUUUGCAACAAACAAAAAUUAUUGAAUCGUACUUAAAAAAAAAAUCAUCAAAUAAAUAUUUCAAAAUCCUGCAUAAAUCAACGCCAUUAAAAAUCAACAAAAAAUGUUGCAAAAAAUUAUGUAAAAAAAAAUUGCAAUAGCGAAAUAAAUAGUUGCAUAUUUGUAGCACAUAAAGUAUUAACCAAAAAAAAAAAAAAAAAAUGCUUAUGAAAAACUCAACUUCUCAAUGUCUUUCUAUGGAAAAUCCUCGCAUUUAAAAAACUGCAUAAUAUAUGCAAUUAAACUUAAGUAAAUAUAAACAAAACCGAUUGUCAUGAUACAAAUUCCUCAAAUAUUUAGCAUAGAAAGUGAAAAAAAUACAUACAUAUUUAAACAAACCGCAACUAAAUCAGCAGCAACGUACACGCACAUAUAUAUUUAAGCAUAAACGAAAUACCCAAUAAGUACAUAUUAAAUAAUAAUAAUUGUCAUUAAACAGCAUUUUACGGUGUUUUCCAAAAGUCAUAAGCAAAUAAAUAAAUAAAACAAUCUACUUGACCCAACAAUUUCAUAUUGUGUCAUGCACUUAAGCGAGCAUUAAAUUAAAAACAUUAAAUAUAAUAACAAAUAAAGAAUCCCGCAUUUUAUUGAAAAAAUACUCCUUCAAAUAACUACAUACAUAAAUAUAAUAAUUGUGAAUUACAAACAUAUGAAUAAUGUUCGUUACAUAAAUUACAUACAUGAACAAACGGUGUUGUGUAAAGCAGGUUUAUAGUAAAUUUGAAAUAUAAAAAAAAUUAAAGCUGAUUCAUAUAUUUGAAGGCGCAACAAUAACAUUGCGAGUAGAUUGAGAAUUUUUGGAGACAGUUGACGCUCAUUGCCAUUCAUCAUGUUACAGAUCACUGCCAUGAUUAAUCAAUAAUUAAACUAAUAGCGAAAUGUGAAACCAAAAAUAAAUACUUAA
RNAcentral lists this long non-coding RNA (2291 nucleotides) under Ceratitis capitata (Mediterranean fruit fly). RNAcentral describes it as "uncharacterized LOC105665285, transcript variant X1". Lineage: Eukaryota; Metazoa; Arthropoda; Insecta; Diptera; Tephritidae. The record is from RNAcentral.